UACGUAGGGUGCAAGCGUUAAUCGGAAUUACUGGGCGUAAAGCGUGCGCAGGCGGUUUUGUAAGCCAGAUGUGAAAUCCCCGGGCUUAACCUGGGAAUGGCAUUUGGGACUGCAAGGCUUGAGUGCGGCAGAGGAGACUGGAAUUCCUGGUGUAGCAGUGAAAUGCGUAGAUAUCAGGAGGAACACCGAUGGCGAAGGCAGGUCUCUGGGCUGACACUGACGCUCAUGCACGAAAGCGUGGGGAGCAAACGAGG
This 254-nucleotide ribosomal RNA is filed under the name uncultured bacterium. RNAcentral's name for it is "partial 16S ribosomal RNA". It matches the Rfam family "Bacterial small subunit ribosomal RNA", at positions 524 to 777 of the family's 1533-position model. The record is from RNAcentral.